This 253-nucleotide ribosomal RNA is filed under the name uncultured bacterium. RNAcentral describes it as "partial 16S ribosomal RNA". It matches the Rfam family "Bacterial small subunit ribosomal RNA", at positions 524 to 776 of the family's 1533-position model. The record is from RNAcentral.
UACGAAGGGGGCUAGCGUUGUUCGGAAUUACUGGGCGUAAAGGGCGCGUAGGCGGCUCUGAUCGUCGGAUGUGAAAGGCCUGGGCUCAACCUGGGAACGGCAUCCGAUACGGCGGGGCUUGAGUGUGGGAGAGGUUGGUGGAAUUCCCAGUGUAGAGGUGAAAUGCGUAGAUAUCUGGAGGAACACCGGUGGCGAAGGCGGCAUUCUGGACCGACAUUGACGCUGAGGAGCGAAAGCCAGGGGAGCAAACGGG